This 827-nucleotide ribosomal RNA is filed under the name uncultured crenarchaeote. Its description in RNAcentral is "bacterial SSU rRNA". It matches the Rfam family "Archaeal small subunit ribosomal RNA", at positions 52 to 859 of the family's 1478-position model. The record is from RNAcentral. Lineage: Archaea; Thermoproteati; Thermoproteota.
UGCUAGUCGAGUGAUUCAGGCAAAACGAGUCACGGCACACAGCUCAGUAACACGUGGCUAAUCUGCCCUUGAGACAUGAACAACCCCGGGAAACUGGGGCUAACUCGUGAUAGGCGAAGAACUCUGGAAUGAGUCUUCACCCAAAAAGCUUUACGUUAUCCUCGUGAAGUUGCUCAAGGAUGAGGCCGCGGCCGAUCAGGUUGUUGAUGAGGUAAUGGCUCACCAAGCCUUUUACCGGUGCGGGCCGUGGGAGCGGGAGCCCGGAGAUGGGUACUGAGACAAGGACCCAGGCCCUACGGGGCGCAGCAGUCGCGAAAACUUUGCAAUAAGCGCAAGCUUGACAGGGCUAUCCCGAGUGCCAUCCGCUGAGGAAGGCUUUUACCCAGUCUAGAACGCUGGGGGAAUAAGGAGAGGGCAAGUCUGGUGUCAGCCGCCGCGGUAAUACCAGCUCUCCGAGUGGUGUGGAUGUUUAUUGGGCCUAAAGCAUCCGUAGCUGGCUAAGUUAGUCCCUUGUUAAAUCCACCGAAUUGAUCGUUGGAUUGCGGGGGAUACUGCUUGGCUAGGGGACGAGAGAGGCAGACGGUAUUUCCGGGGUAGGGGUGAAAUCCUAUAAUCCCGGGAAGACCACCAGUGGCGAAGGCUGUCUGCUAGAACGCGCCCGACGGUGAGGGAUGAAAGCUGGGGGAGCGAACCGGAUUAGAUACCCGGGUAGUCCCAGCUGUAAACGAUGCAGACUAGGUGUUUGGACGGCCACGUGCCGUUCUAGUGCCGCAGGAAAGCUGUUAAGUCUGCCGCCUGGGGAGUACGAUCGCAAGAUUGAAACUUAA